UGGGGAAUAUUGCACAAUGGGCGCAAGCCUGAUGCAGCCAUGCCGCGUGUAUGAAGAAGGCCUUCGGGUUGUAAAGUACUUUCAGCGGGGAGGAAGGGAGUAAAGUUAAUACCUUUGCUCAUUGACGUUACCCGCAGAAGAAGCACCGGCUAACUCCGUGCCAGCAGCCGCGGUAAUACGGAGGGUGCAAGCGUUAAUCGGAAUUACUGGGCGUAAAGCGCACGCAUGCGGUUUGUUAAGUCAGAUGUGAAAUCCCCGGGCUCAACCUGCGAACUGCAUCUGAUACUAGCAAGCUUGAUUCUCGUAGAGGGGGGUAGAAUGCCAGGUUUAUCGGUGAAUUACGUAGAGAUCUGGCGGAAUACCGGUGGCGAAGGCGGCCCCCUGGACGAAGACUGACGCUCAGGUGCGAAAGCGUGGGGAGCAAACAGG
Molecule: ribosomal RNA, 429 nt
Filed under: Chloroflexota bacterium
Lineage: Bacteria; Bacillati; Chloroflexota
Description: Chloroflexi bacterium partial 16S ribosomal RNA
Rfam family: Bacterial small subunit ribosomal RNA
Source: RNAcentral